UUUUUAAUGUAUGGAUGUAUGGAUGUAUUUUAGAGAGAGAGAGCACAUGAGCAGGAGAGAGGCAGAGAGAGAGAGAGAGAGAGAGAGACUCAAGCAGACUCCCCACUGAGCACAGAGCCUGAUGCAGGGCUUGAUCCCAGGACCAUGAGAUCAUGAUCUGAGCCAAAAUCAAGAGUCAGUGCUUAACUGACUGAGCCACCCAGGCGCCCCACUCCCAGGUCGCCCUAAUGUGUAUCCACAGUACCUCUGAUUUACAGUUGAGGUCUAGAGAAAAUUAUCCAAGGAGAUACUGUGGGCUAGACUGAGCCAGAGUCCAGGCUGGAACUGCUGAAAAUAUAUCACAUAGGUUAUUGACAAGGUUAUUAAUUAUACAGCUACCUUGCAAAUACAGUUUGCAAACUUCUAAUUGUAGAUGGUUCACUCCUGCUUACUAACAAUCUACAUUAAUAUUUACACUUUUCACUUUCCAACUUCUAAGGAUGGCUCAGAUACUUCAUGCUUCUGUGAUAUAAUCUUCUUACAGGGUUUAUUGGUAAUAGGUUUCAGUUUGGGGGCUUUACUAACAUCUGCAGGCGGAACUAGCUAAUGCCACUUUUAACUGUUUUUUGUUUGCGUCCUAUUGUUGGUGCAUUUGUUUCUCAGCAUUAAAAAAACCUCUCUCUUUGUUCUUUGCAUUUUCCCUAGCUCUGGUAUUUUCUUGCAAUCCACAUAAAAAUUAUGUCUUUCAGGGGGCACCUGGGUGGCUCAGCCAAUUGACUGACCAACUCUUGAUUUAGGCUCAGGUCAUACUCUCAGGGUCCUGAGAUCAAGCCCUGCAUCUGGCUCUCAGUUCAGUGAGGAGUCUGCUUGAGAUGCUCUCUCUCCUUCUGCCCCUCCCCCUCCUCUCUCUCUCUCUCUCUUUCUAAAAAAUAAAAAAUAAAUCUUAAAAAAAUAUGUCUUUUAUAAUCAAAGGCCGUGGUGAUAAUCCCUUUGUGAUGUGUGAUGUGAAAGAGAUUAACAAAAAACUACAUAUUUACUGAGAACAAUGAAGGUAUAAAGGGGAAAUUGCCUUAAGUCACAGAAAUAAAAAUGAUUUAGAGAAAAAGAUGAGAUAAAGGAGAGAAACAGAAAAAUGAGCUCAAGGAAAGGAAACAGAGGAAGAAGAAAAUAAUGGAAAUGCAAGACUGAACUUCUGGUCUACCUUCUGGCUCACCUCCUAACUACAGAGGUCCCCAAACACGGACUCUUACUUUGAGGAAUGCCAGAGUGACACAGGGUAAGCUGCUUGGUCAUCUGCACAAGUUGCAGUAUGAUGGGAGUCCUCUAUCCCUCUUCCUUAUUCCCUAUAAAAUCCAAAUCUCUCUGAUUACCCGUGCCCCAUUCUGACUGUCCGAUUCCAACCACAUUCAAGACAACCCAAGGUACUUUAGGAUUUGUUUGACUUCUUGGAGAUAAUGACUCUCAAUAGGAUUGGCCUGGUACAAGAGUGAACCUUUGAAAAUUACCUGAGUUCUCUGGUCAUACUCCAGUUUGAAACACAUGAACUCUGGGGCUAAAUUCUACGGCAGGAGCACUUCAAAGCCAUUAUGGAAUCUCAAGGUUAAAAUGAAUAGGGCCUGCCCUAACAUUUAUAAGACUGGACAAGAGCACAAAUGGAGCCCCCCACACCAUACACUAAAUAUUUAAAUGAUAUAAAUCAAGGUAACAACUAAUUAAAAUAUAUCCUAUCUUCUGCUUUAACAAAUAUAUCUUAAUAAAAAAACCUAGAAGGCAGGUUCAAAUAUGGAAUUCUUGGACUUCUUUGAGUCCUAUGUAGGAAGGAAGGCAAUAGAAUGAAAGCCCCCCACCCGGUCUUUCCUUCUUUCCCCACGGCAGGUUUCAUGUUGCACUAUGGUCAAACUUAGGUGUAAUACCCAUGAUGACACAGUCCAUCUUUAGUCUGUCCAGGACCUGGAAACAGGCUUAGGGUGCCAAGAAAUUCUAAAGUAUUCAAUGAGUGUUAUAGAACAGUAGUUCUCAACUGGGGGCAAUUUUGCCCCUCAGGGAACAUUUUGCAAUUUCUGGAGGUAUUUUGUUUGUCAUAGCUUGAAGAGGGAAGUGUUACGAGCAUCUAGUGGGUAGAGGCCAGGGAUGCUGUCCUACAAGGUACAGGACAGCCACCAUCAC
RNAcentral lists this long non-coding RNA (2145 nucleotides) under Canis lupus familiaris (dog). Its description in RNAcentral is "lncRNA (ENSCAFG00845022698.1)". Lineage: Eukaryota; Metazoa; Chordata; Mammalia; Carnivora; Canidae. The record is from RNAcentral.